UGGGGAAUUUUGGACAAUGGGGGAAACCCUGAUCCAGCCAUCCCGCGUGUGCGAUGAAGGCCUUCGGGUUGUAAAGCACUUUUGGCAGGAAAUAAACGUCAUGGGUUAAUACCCCGUGAAACUGACGGUACCUGCAGAAUAAGCACCGGCUAACUACGUGCCAGCAGCCGCGGUAAUACGUAGGGUGCAAGCGUUAAUCGGAAUUACUGGGCGUAAAGCGUGCGCAGGCGGUUCGGAAAGAAAGAUGUGAAAUCCCAGAGCUCAACUUUGGAACUGCAUUUUUAACUACCGGGCUAGAGUGUGUCAGAGGGAGGUGGAAUUCCGCGUGUAGCAGUGAAAUGCGUAGAUAUGCGGAGGAACACCGAUGGCGAAGGCAGCCUCCUGGGAUAACACUGACGCUCAUGCACGAAAGCGUGGGGAGCAAACAGG
This 429-nucleotide ribosomal RNA is filed under the name Acidobacteriota bacterium. RNAcentral describes it as "Acidobacteria bacterium partial 16S ribosomal RNA". It matches the Rfam family "Bacterial small subunit ribosomal RNA", at positions 355 to 776 of the family's 1533-position model. The record is from RNAcentral. Lineage: Bacteria; Pseudomonadati; Acidobacteriota.